RNAcentral lists this ribosomal RNA (492 nucleotides) under uncultured bacterium. RNAcentral's name for it is "partial 16S ribosomal RNA". It matches the Rfam family "Bacterial small subunit ribosomal RNA", at positions 29 to 507 of the family's 1533-position model. The record is from RNAcentral.
AGUGAACGCUGGCGGUAGGCCUAACACAUGCAAGUCGAACGGCAGCACAGUAAGAGCUUGCUCUUACGGGUGGCGAGUGGCGGACGGGUGAGGAAUACAUCGGAAUCUACUUUUUCGUGGGGGAUAACGUAGGGAAACUUACGCUAAUACCGCAUACGACCUACGGGUGAAAGCAGGGGAUCUUCGGACCUUGCGCGAUUGAAUGAGCCGAUGUCGGAUUAGCUAGUUGGCGGGGUAAAGGCCCACCAAGGCGACGAUCCGUAGCUGGUCUGAGAGGAUGAGCAGCCAGACUGGAACUGAGACACGGUCCAGACUCCUACGGGAGGCAGCAGUGGGGAAUAUUGGACAAUGGGCGCAAGCCUGAUCCAGCCAUACCGCGUGGGUGAAGAAGGCCUUCGGGUUGUAAAGCCCUUUUGUUGGGAAAGAAAAGCAGCAGGUUAAUACCCCGCUGUUCUGACGGUACCCAAAGAAUAAGCACCGGCUAACUUCGUG